This 318-nucleotide ribosomal RNA is filed under the name Rosa chinensis. RNAcentral's name for it is "eukaryotic LSU rRNA". The stretch from base 256 to 318 matches the Rfam family "Eukaryotic large subunit ribosomal RNA", at positions 1 to 63 of the family's 3401-position model. Lineage: Eukaryota; Viridiplantae; Streptophyta; Magnoliopsida; Rosales; Rosaceae. The record is from RNAcentral.
GCGCCCGAAGCCAUUAGGCCGAGGGCACGUCUGCCUGGGCGUCACACGUCGUUGCCCCCCCCAACCCCUCGGGAGUUGGAUGGGACGGAUGAUGGCCUCCCGUGUGCUCAGUCACGCGGUUGGCAUAAAUACCAAGUCCUCGGCGACCAACGCCACGACAAUCGGUGGUUGUCAAACCUCGGUUUCCUGUCGUGCGCGCGUGUUGAUCGAGUGCUUUCUUAAACAAUGCGUGUCGAUCAGUCGAUGCUUACAACGCGACCCCAGGUCAGGCGGGGUUACCCGCUGAAUUUAAGCAUAUCAAUAAGCGGAGGAAAAAAU